GACGAACGCUGGCGGCGUGCUUAACACAUGCAAGUCGAACGAAGAGCGAUGGAAGCUUGCUUCUAUCAAUCUUAGUGGCGAACGGGUGAGUAACGCGUAAUCAACCUGCCCUUCAGAGGGGGACAACAGUUGGAAACGACUGCUAAUACCGCAUACGAUCUAAUCUCGGCAUCGAGGAUAGAUGAAAGGUGGCCUCUACAUGUAAGCUAUCACUGAAGGAGGGGAUUGCGUCUGAUUAGCUAGUUGGAGGGGUAACGGCCCACCAAGGCGAUGAUCAGUAGCCGGUCUGAGAGGAUGAACGGCCACAUUGGGACUGAGACACGGCCCAGACUCCUACGGGAGGCAGCAGUGGGGAAUCUUCCGCAAUGGACGAAAGUCUGACGGAGCAACGCCGCGUGAGCGAUGACGGCCUUCGGGUUGUAAAGCUCUGUUAAUCGGGACGAAAGGCCUUCUUGCGAAUAGGGAGAAGGAUUGACGGUACCGGAAUAGAAAGCCACGGCUAUCUACGUG
RNAcentral lists this ribosomal RNA (510 nucleotides) under uncultured bacterium. Its description in RNAcentral is "partial 16S ribosomal RNA". It matches the Rfam family "Bacterial small subunit ribosomal RNA", at positions 28 to 507 of the family's 1533-position model. The record is from RNAcentral.